UACGGAGGGUGCGAGCGUUGUCCGGAAUCACUGGGCGUAAAGGGCGCGUAGGCGGCGCGGGAAGUCCGUGGUGAAAGCCCGAGGCUCAACUUCGGGUCGGCCAUGGAUACUCCUGGGCUUGAGCACUGUAGAGGCAGGUGGAAUUCCGGGUGUAGCGGUGGAAUGCGUAGAGAUCCGGAAGAACACCGGUGGCGAAGGCGGCCUGCUGGGCAGUAGCUGACGCUGAGGCGCGAAAGCGUGGGUAGCAAACAGG
Molecule: ribosomal RNA, 253 nt
Filed under: uncultured bacterium
Lineage: Bacteria
Description: partial 16S ribosomal RNA
Rfam family: Bacterial small subunit ribosomal RNA
Source: RNAcentral